RNAcentral lists this ribosomal RNA (440 nucleotides) under uncultured Rhodospirillales bacterium. RNAcentral describes it as "bacterial SSU rRNA". It matches the Rfam family "Bacterial small subunit ribosomal RNA", at positions 338 to 795 of the family's 1533-position model. The record is from RNAcentral. Lineage: Bacteria; Pseudomonadati; Pseudomonadota; Alphaproteobacteria; Rhodospirillales.
CCUACGGGGGGCUGCAGUGGGGAAUAUUGGACAAUGGGGGCAACCCUGAUCCAGCCAUGCCGCGUGAAUGAUGAAGGCCUUCGGGUUGUAAAGUUCUUUUGGUAGGGACGAUGAUGACGGUACCUACAGAAUAAGCUCCGGCUAACUUCGUGCCAGCAGCCGCGGUAAUACGAAGGGAGCUAGCGUUGUUCGGAAUUACUGGGCGUAAAGGGCGCGUAGGCGGUUCGACAAGUUGGAUGUGAAAGCCCAGGGCUCAACCCUGGAAUUGCAUUCAAAACUGUCUUACUUGAAUUCGGUAGAGGUUGGUGGAAUUCCCAGUGUAGAGGUGAAAUUCGUAGAUAUUGGGAAGAAUAUCCGUGGCGAAGGCGGCCAACUGGACCGACAUUGACGCUGAGGCGCGAAAGCGUGGGGAGCAAACAGGAUUAGAUACCCCUGUAGUC